GAGAAUCCCUCGUCUACCCAAGGAGAGAGAGCCUGAACUGCUUCCUCAGAAGCAGGCCUAGAAUACCAAAGCAUGACCGUCCAGCAAAGCUGCCUUGUCAGUGAGUACCCAGCUUAGGAGCAGUAAUGACACUGGCUAUGCAUAGGGUCUCUCUUUCUCUCUGGGUCUGUAGCACCGAUGUCAAGAGCACAGAACUCACCACUAAAUGACCUGGGUUAAUACCCCUGAUCUGUCACUCACUAGAUGCAAAAUCCUGGGCAAGGUACUUAGUUCUUUGCGUCUCAGUUUCCUCAUCUGCAAAGCAGGGAUGGGAGCAUUAGAGCCAACCACAGAAGCAUUUGCGAGGACUAUCCAAGGUAACGAAUGGAAAAUACAGAGAGAAGUGUCCAGCCUGUGAUGAGCGCCAGUAAGUGUUGGCUAUUAUUAUUCCCCUAUGCCUGGUUUUAUGCUAAACCAUUUCCAGACAUUCUCCCUGUAGGAUGCUUCGAAAGGCACUCUGCAGUUAUUCCCAUGAAGAUUGUGUGGGUUGAGUGACUUGCUCAAGGCCAUUCAAUUGGUUGGUGGCAGAGCAGGGACUGGAACUCACUGAAGCCAGUGAGCUCUCCUGUGGGGUGGGGGUGGUCUCCCCUUUCCUGCAGGGUCUUAGCUGGGGAUGCUCACCACCUUUACGUUGUGGGCCAGAGGGAGGACAGUAGUCAGUGGACUUCGAAGCUCACUCAGCUCCACAUAAGUGGGAGGUGAGACCUGGGAGGCAUUCUUCCAGGUGGUGGUAGGGAGCUCCUCGUGGUGGAAGGUAAUCAAUGAACAGAUUCACACUCAUUUGAAAUGGAUGAUCUUUCAGUGCUAUUCAUGCCACGCAGCACAGCAGGAUGUUCUGAGGAUGCCGGAGUGAUGACCUGCUAACUGAAUUUGUCGAGUGGUGUGAGGGUAAUGAGCUUAUGUAAAACCAGUGUACCAAAAAUACAGACUAAGAAAACCCCAAGGCCGCACGAUUAGUAAUAGGGAACAAACAUGCUAUUUUCCCUCAUUUUUUUUUCUUGAUGUUGCCAUGAAGGGUUUCCUCUCAUUCAUCAGAAAUAAAAGCCCUAUGACAGUUAGACUUCCUCAGGGCCUACACUGGCAGCCAUGGAGUGGGCUGGAGGGGAGCUGGGGCCCAGAGACUCCUGAGUUCUACGACUGCCUCUGCCUUGCUGGAUUUGAACCCAGCUGGGCUGGCUGAAUUCACAGCCUGUGCGGUUAACUCCACAGCACUCUGCACCUCCAGCUAUGACCCAGAGAGUUCUGGGAGAGUCAGAGCUAUUCAAGAAUGGUGGGUGUGUAUGGGGCCCUGGGGGUGGGCUCGGCUUACUGUGUGAGGGGCCAUAGAGAGGCCUGCUUUUCCCUUCUGUUUUUGUCCCAGCCCACCCUCUGCUCCAGCCUGUCAAGGCCACCUGUGUGACUCUUUGGCAGGCUCUGUGUGUAGUGUGGACAGUGCUGUCAUCCUGCUUGGCUGCAGGUUUGGCCAUCCUCCAUGGAUUUUCCAUGGCCCAUUUGCUUUUCUUUUGCUCUGGGGGGCUGAUGGUUUGCACACCUGCCAGGCAGUUCUCCCCAAGGGGUCUUGGAGAGCCUGGCCUGCAGAACAUGAGUGCCAUAGCUCUGAAGGCAGCCCAGCCUACUUGAACCUUGGAUCCUGGGAUCCAGAGCCAUUCAUGAGUCAUGUUGUUUUUGUAGUGAAUCUUUACCCACUUCUCGUGAGGACAGCCUAUCCAGGUCCUGUGGGACAGCAGGAUUUAAUGCCCAGAAGUAGGAAGACUAGGCUGGGCAUCAGGGGGCCAAGGCUGGGAUCUCUGUGCCCCUUCCUGGCUGCAGCACUGUGGGCAAGUUGCCAUCCCUCUCUGAGUCAGGGUUUUCUCACCUGUAACUUAGAAAUGAUCACUUCCUUCCCUUCCUGGAGCACCUAGAUGUUGUAAGAAUAAAACGAGAUAACAUAGAGGUGAGAAUACUCAGCAGAUAUCAAUCACAGACCUACUAUAUACAUGGUACUCACUGACCAUGUUGUACAUGAUCACAAUUCAAAGAAAACCAACGAAUUAAUCAACCAAUGACCUACCAACUAAUCAACUUACCGACCAACUUACUAACAAACUGAGCAACCAACCAACCAACCAACCAACCAACCAACCAACCAACCAACCAAUAAAUGAAUUUAUCUCCCAACCGACCAAACAGUGGAGCUUAGCAUCUUGUUGGGAAAAGACCUACAUUGAAAAAUCCCACAGAGAAAUACCGACGACCCUUGCUCAGAUGGAGAGGACACACCAUCAUGACAGCCUCCGGUGGAGGGGCAGCAGUGGGAGCCGUGGGACAGGGUCCCAGUUCAGGGAUUUUUCAGGCGCUACCACUCCUCUCUUUCCCCACGGCUCCCAGCUGCACCCAGGCUCUGGCUCUUGGAUGCAUUCCCAGGGCCUCCACCUGGAACCUCGCAGCAGCUCCUCAUCGCAGUCUCUCCUUGGACACACUGUGGCCAAAAUGUCUCUUUUCGGAAGAGUGAUGUGACUAUGUCAUUUCUCUGUUUAAAACCCCUUACGGGCUGCUCCUGUGUUCUCAGCCUGGAGAAGCAGACCCUGCCACAUUUCCAGAAGCACCCACCUUACUCGCUGGGAGAAACACACCCACCAAGAAAAAUGCUGUGACAGGUUGUGAGGUUGGAAGUUGAAACAGAAGCAUCAAGUUCUAAUAGAUCCUGCCCUGUUAAGUGAAGUCCCCGGAACAAGAUGCCGUUUCAAGGGAAACGGAUCUGGGCUUUUAAAACUCUCUACUCACGAUGAGAAUAUAAAAAGAUGGGUCCGGGAGAACAAAGGGAGAGAUUUUGGGGGAUGAUUCCUUGGGAAGAAGUGUACCCAGCCCUUUUGCUAGCAUGUUGGGGGGGCAUGAAGAGAUCCCUCCUCCACCUCAUCCAAGUUGCUGUAAAAGACAUGAUUUCAUUCUUUUUUAUGGCUGAGUAGUAUUCCAUGGUAUCUGUAUACCACAUUUUCUUUAUCCACUCGUCGGUUGAUGGGCACUUAGAUUGGUUCCACGUCUUUGCAAUUGCCCCCACCUCAAAUUUAGU
RNAcentral lists this long non-coding RNA (3088 nucleotides) under Homo sapiens (human). Its description in RNAcentral is "HSALNT0215670". Lineage: Eukaryota; Metazoa; Chordata; Mammalia; Primates; Hominidae. The record is from RNAcentral.